This 468-nucleotide ribosomal RNA is filed under the name Rhabditis cf. terricola JH-2004. RNAcentral describes it as "SSU rRNA". It matches the Rfam family "Eukaryotic small subunit ribosomal RNA", at positions 87 to 590 of the family's 1831-position model. The record is from RNAcentral. Lineage: Eukaryota; Metazoa; Nematoda; Chromadorea; Rhabditida; Rhabditidae.
CUGCGAACGGCUCAUUAGAGCUUAUAUAAAGUUUCCGGCUGCCUUUUAGGCUAUCUUCGACAAAUUGAAGCUAAUACACGCAAACAUGUCCUUUUCGGAGGGCGCGAUAUUAGAACUACUGGCUUGCCGGCGGUUGAAUUCAAUUAUCGUUUUAUAUCGGAAGGCGACUUCCGAUGGCCGGAAACUGUGUACGCCCUAUCACCCAGCAGGUUAGUUAUUCGCUAACCAGGGGUAUUACGGGUAACGGAGAACUAGGGUUCGUCUCCGGAGAAGAAGCCUUUGAAAGGCUACUACAUCCAAGGAAGGCAGCAGGCGCGUAACUUAUCCACUACCACAGUGAGAUAGUAACUAGUCUUAACUAUUGACUGAUCUUUUAGGUUAGUCAUGGUCCAUGAGUUGAGCCUAAAUAGCUCUUCGAGGACCAAGUGGAGGGCAAGUCUGGUGCCAGCAGCCGCGGUAAUUCCAGCU